RNAcentral lists this ribosomal RNA (119 nucleotides) under Pteropus alecto (black flying fox). Lineage: Eukaryota; Metazoa; Chordata; Mammalia; Chiroptera; Pteropodidae. The record is from RNAcentral.
GUAUACGGCCAUGCCACCCUGAACAAGCCCAAUCCUGUCUGAUCUCAGAAGCUAAGCAGGGUCAGGCCUGGUUAGUACUUGGAUGGGAGACCACCUAGGAAGACUAGGUGCUGUAGGCA